GCGGGUUGCAUACUUGCAGUGGGUCUGGAUUGAGCAGAGAUGCAAGUUGACGCGAAGAAGAUGAGACAAGAGAAGCUCUAGCUGGAAAUUACCGAAAGCGGCAAAUCAGCAAAAGAUUUACCUUCCCCGCAUCUUUCGUUGAGCAUGUAUUCUCAAGCUGCUUCCUAAUAGCUGCUGGUAUCGUGACAGAUUGAGCCAUUAUUGGGCUCCUUAUACAUGCUAGACGAGAUGGUGUUAAUCACAGUCAAUGCAAAUGAUAUAUGACUGGAUAGGCCCUUGGUGAAACGACG
This 290-nucleotide small RNA is filed under the name Cryptococcus neoformans H99. Its description in RNAcentral is "Cryptococcus neoformans var. grubii H99 hypothetical RNA". Lineage: Eukaryota; Fungi; Basidiomycota; Tremellomycetes; Tremellales; Cryptococcaceae. The record is from RNAcentral.